This 86-nucleotide non-coding RNA is filed under the name uncultured Henriciella sp. RNAcentral's name for it is "Glycine riboswitch". It matches the Rfam family "Glycine riboswitch aptamer". From Rfam's summary of the family: This family represents the bacterial glycine riboswitch. Glycine riboswitches usually consist of two metabolite-binding aptamers domains with similar structures in tandem. Lineage: Bacteria; Pseudomonadati; Pseudomonadota; Alphaproteobacteria; Hyphomonadales; Hyphomonadaceae. The record is from RNAcentral.
UGUUUCGGGAGAGAUCUGAUUCUUUUGGGGUCAGACGCCGAAGGCGCAACCGCCCCGGAAACGCUCAGGCCAAAGGACCGAGACAG